GACGAACGCUGGCGGCGCGCCUAACACAUGCAAGUCGAACGGGGUCUACAGGGAAGCUUGCUUCCAGGCAGACCUAGUGGCGGACGGGUGAGUAACACGUGAGCAACCUGCCCUAAAGAGGGGAAUAACGUUUGGAAACGAACGCUAAUACCGCAUAAUAUAUUUGAGCCGCAUGGUUUGGAUAUCAAAGGAGAAAUCCGCUUUGGGAUGGGCUCGCGCCCGAUUAGAUAGUUGGUGAGGUAACGGCCCACCAAGUCGACGAUCGGUAGCCGGACUGAGAGGUUGAUCGGCCACAUUGGGACUGAGACACGGCCCAGACUCCUACGGGAGGCAGCAGUGGGGAAUAUUGCACAAUGGGGGAAACCCUGAUGCAGCGACGCCGCGUGAGUGAAGACGGCCUUCGGGUUGUAAAGCUCUGUUGCAGAGGACGAUAAUGACGGUACUCUGUGAGGAAGCCACGGCUAACUACGUGACAGCCGCCGCCGUAAAAC
RNAcentral lists this ribosomal RNA (491 nucleotides) under uncultured bacterium. RNAcentral's name for it is "bacterial SSU rRNA". It matches the Rfam family "Bacterial small subunit ribosomal RNA", at positions 28 to 526 of the family's 1533-position model. The record is from RNAcentral.